GCAGUCGAGGGGUAUGGUUCUUCGGAACCAGAGACCGGCGCACGGGUGCGUAACGCGUAUGCAAUCUACCUUUUACAGAGGGAUAGCCCAGAGAAAUUUGGAUUAAUACCUCAUAGUAUAAUGACUCGGCAUCGAGAUAUUAUUAAAGUCACAACGGUAAAAGAUGAGCAUGCGUCCCAUUAGCUAGUUGGUAAGGUAACGGCUUACCAAGGCUACGAUGGGCAGGGGUCCUGAGAGGGAGAUCCCCCACACUGGUACUGAGACACGGACCAGACUCCUACGGGAGGCAGCAGUGAGGAAUAUUGGACAAUGGGCGCAAGCCUGAUCCAGCCAUGCCGCGUGCAGGAUGACGGUCCUAUGGAUUGUAAACUGCUUUUAUACGAGAAGAAACACUCCGACGUGUCGGAGCUUGACGGUAUCGUAAGAAUAAGGAUCGGCUAACUCCGUGCCAGCAGCCGCGGUAAUACGGAGGAUCCAAGCGUUAUCCGGAAUCAUUGGGUUUAAAGGGUCCGUAGGCGGUUUAAUAAGUCAGUGGUGAAAGCCCAUCGCUCAACGGUGGAACGGCCAUUGAUACUGUUAAACUUGAAUUAUUAGGAAGUAACUAGAAUAUGUAGUGUAGCGGUGAAAUGCUUAGAGAUUACAUGGAAUACCAAUUGCGAAGGCAGGUUACUACUAAUGGAUUGACGCUGAUGGACGAAAGCGUGGGUAGCGAACAGGAUUAGAUACCCUGGUAGUCCACGCCGUANACGAUGGAUACUAGCUGUUGGGUGCAAACUCAGUGGCUAAGCGAAAGUGAUAAGUAUCCCACCUGGGGAGUACGUUCGCAAGAAUGAAACUCAAAGGAAUUGACGGGGGCCCGCACAAGCGGUGGAGCAUGUGGUUUAAUUCG
This 889-nucleotide ribosomal RNA is filed under the name uncultured bacterium. RNAcentral describes it as "bacterial SSU rRNA". It matches the Rfam family "Bacterial small subunit ribosomal RNA", at positions 57 to 953 of the family's 1533-position model. The record is from RNAcentral.